AUUGAACGCUGGCGGCAUGCUUUACACAUGCAAGUCGAACGGCAGCACGGACUUCGGUCUGGUGGCGAGUGGCGAACGGGUGAGUAAUACAUCGGAACGUACCCAGUAAUGGGGGAUAACUAUCCGAAAGGAUAGCUAAUACCGCAUACGCCCUACGGGGGAAAGAGGGGGAUCGCAAGACCUCUUGUUAUUGGAGCGGCCGAUGGCUGAUUAGCUAGUUGGUGAGGUAAAGGCUCACCAAGGCGACGAUCAGUAGCGGGUCCUAGAGGACGGUCCGCCAAACUGGAACUGGGACACGGUCCAGACUCCUACGGGAGGCAGCAGGGGGGAAUCUUGGACAAUGGGCGCAAGCCUGAUCCAGCAAUGCCGCGUGCGUGAAGAAGGCCUUCGGGUUGUAAAGCGCUUUUGUCAGGGAGCAAAUCCUUGUGGCUAAUACCCACCGGGGAUGAGAGUACCUGAAGAAUAAGGACCGGCUAACUACGUGCCAGCAGCCGCAGUAA
Molecule: ribosomal RNA, 500 nt
Filed under: uncultured bacterium
Lineage: Bacteria
Description: partial 16S ribosomal RNA
Rfam family: Bacterial small subunit ribosomal RNA
Source: RNAcentral